UCCAGACUCCUACGGGAGGCAGCAGUGAGGAAUAUUGGUCAAUGGCCGGAAGGCUGAACCAGCCAAGUCGCGUGAGGGACGACUGCCCUAUGGGUUGUAAACCUCUUUUAUAAGGGAAGAAUAAAUGCUACGUGUAGCAUGAUGCCUGUACCUUAUGAAUAAGCAUCGGCUAACUCCGUGCCAGCAGCCGCGGUAAUACGGAGGAUGCGAGCGUUAUCCGGAUUUAUUGGGUUUAAAGGGUGCGCAGGCGGGCUGUUAAGCCGGCGGUAAAAAUUCAGGGCUCAACCCUGUCGAGCCGUCGGAACUGGCAGCCUUGAGUGGGCGAGAAGUAUGCGGAAUGCGUGGUGUAGCGGUGAAAUGCAUAGAUAUCACGCAGAACUCCGAUUGCGAAGGCAGCAUACCGGCGCCCGACUGACGCUGAGGCACGAAAGCGUGGGGAUCGAACAGGAUUAGAUACCCGCGUA
Molecule: ribosomal RNA, 464 nt
Filed under: uncultured bacterium
Lineage: Bacteria
Description: bacterial SSU rRNA
Rfam family: Bacterial small subunit ribosomal RNA
Source: RNAcentral